RNAcentral lists this ribosomal RNA (56 nucleotides) under Halidrys siliquosa. RNAcentral's name for it is "partial 5.8S ribosomal RNA". The record is from RNAcentral. Lineage: Eukaryota; Phaeophyceae; Fucales; Sargassaceae.
ACGCACCUCGCGCUCCCGGGAUAUGCCUGGGAGCAUGCUUGUCGGGGAGGAGGAGG